Molecule: transfer RNA, 88 nt
Filed under: Spirochaetaceae bacterium
Lineage: Bacteria; Pseudomonadati; Spirochaetota; Spirochaetia; Spirochaetales; Spirochaetaceae
Description: tRNA-Ser
Rfam family: tRNA
About the family: Transfer RNA (tRNA) molecules are approximately 80 nucleotides in length. Their secondary structure includes four short double-helical elements and three loops (D, anti-codon, and T loops).
Source: RNAcentral
GGAGUGGUGACCGAGAGGCCGAAGGUGGCUCCCUGCUAAGGAGUUAUAUCCCACAAGGAUAUCGGGGGUUCGAAUCCCCCCUGCUCCG